This 72-nucleotide transfer RNA is filed under the name Phrynosoma platyrhinos (Desert horned lizard). Its description in RNAcentral is "tRNA-OTHER". The record is from RNAcentral. Lineage: Eukaryota; Metazoa; Chordata; Lepidosauria; Squamata; Phrynosomatidae.
GCCAGAGUGCUGUAGUGGUUUGAGUGUUGGACUAGAACUCUGGAGACCAGGGUUCAAAUCCCAGCUCAGCCA